GAUGAACGCUGGCGGCGUGCCUAAUACAUGCAAGUCGAGCGAACAGAUAAGGAGCUUGCUCCUUUGACGUUAGCGGCGGACGGGUGAGUAACACGUGGGUAACCUACCUAUAAGACUGGGAUAACUUCGGGAAACCGGAGCUAAUACCGGAUAACAUUUGGAACCGCAUGGUUCUAAAGUGAAAGAUGGUUUUGCUAUCACUUAUAGAUGGACCCGCGCCGUAUUAGCUAGUUGGUAAGGUAACGGCUUACCAAGGCAACGAUACGUAGCCGACCUGAGAGGGUGAUCGGCCACACUGGAACUGAGACACGGUCCAGACUCCUACGGGAGGCAGCAGUAGGGAAUCUUCCGCAAUGGGCGAAAGCCUGACGGAGCAACGCCGCGUGAGUGAUGAAGGGUUUCGGCUCGUAAAACUCUGUUAUUAGGGAAGAACAAACGUGUAAGUAACUGUGCACGUCUGGACGGUACCUAAUCAGAAAGCCACGGCGAACUACGU
Molecule: ribosomal RNA, 496 nt
Filed under: uncultured bacterium
Lineage: Bacteria
Description: partial 16S ribosomal RNA
Rfam family: Bacterial small subunit ribosomal RNA
Source: RNAcentral